This 521-nucleotide ribosomal RNA is filed under the name Salmonella enterica subsp. enterica serovar Infantis. Its description in RNAcentral is "partial 23S ribosomal RNA". The record is from RNAcentral. Lineage: Bacteria; Pseudomonadati; Pseudomonadota; Gammaproteobacteria; Enterobacterales; Enterobacteriaceae.
CCGGAGAAUGUUAUCACGGGAGACACACGGCGGGUGCUAACGUCCGUCGUGAAGAGGGAAACAACCCAGACCGCCAGCUAAGGUCCCAAAGUCAUGGUUAAGUGGGAAACGAUGUGGGAAGGCCCAGACAGCCAGGAUGUUGGCUUAGAAGCAGCCAUCAUUUAAAGAAAGCGUAAUAGCUCACUGGUCGAGUCGGCCUGCGCGGAAGAUGUAACGGGGCUAAACCAUGCACCGAAGCUGCGGCAGCGACACUCAGGUGUUGUUGGGUAGGGGAGCGUUCUGUAAGYCUGYGAAGGUGGCCUGUGAGGGUUGCUGGAGGUAUCAGAAGUGCGAAUGCUGACAUAAGUAACGAUAAAGCGGGUGAAAAGCCCGCUCGCCGGAAGACCAAGGGUUCCUGUCCAACGUUAAUCGGGGCAGGGUGAGUCGACCCCUAAGGCGAGGCCGAAAGGCGUAGUCGAUGGGAAACGGGUUAAUAUUCCCGUACUUGGUGUUACUGCGAAGGGGGGACGGAGAAGGCUAUG